AGUUUGAUCAUGGCUCAGGAUGAACGCUAGCGGCAGGCUUAACACAUGCAAGUCGAGGGGUAGAGGAAGCUUGCUUCCUUGAGACCGGCGCACGGGUGCGUAGCGCGUAUGCAAUCUACCUUAUACAGGGGGAUAGCCCAGAGAAAUUUGGAUUAAUACCCCAUAGUAUAAUUGAAUGGCAUCAUUUAAUUAUUAAAGUUCCAACGGUAUAAGAUGAGCAUGCGUCCCAUUAGCUAGUUGGUGUGGUAACGGCACACCAAGGCGACGAUGGGUAGGGGUCCUGAGAGGGAGAUCCCCCACACUGGUACUGAGGCACGGACCAGACUCCUACGGGAGGCAGCAGUGAGGAAUAUUGGUCAAUGGGCGCAAGCCUGAACCAGCCAUGCCGCGUGCAGGAUGACGGUCCUAUGGAUUGUAAACUGCUUUUGUACAGGAAGAAACACUCCCUCGUGAGGGAGCUUGACGGUACUGUAAGAAUAAGGAUCGGCUAACUCCGUG
RNAcentral lists this ribosomal RNA (498 nucleotides) under uncultured bacterium. RNAcentral's name for it is "bacterial SSU rRNA". It matches the Rfam family "Bacterial small subunit ribosomal RNA", at positions 10 to 507 of the family's 1533-position model. The record is from RNAcentral.